GACGAACGCUGGCGGCGUGCUUAACACAUGCAAGUCGAACGGAAAGGCCCUGCUUUUGUGGGGUGCUCGAGUGGCGAACGGGUGAGUAACACGUGAGUAACCUGCCCUUGACUUUGGGAUAACUUCAGGAAACUGGGGCUAAUACCGGAUAGGAGCUCCUGCUGCAUGGUGGGGGUUGGAAAGUUUCGGCGGUUGGGGAUGGACUCGCGGCUUAUCAGCUUGUUGGUGGGGUAGUGGCUUACCAAGGCUUUGACGGGUAGCCGGCCUGAGAGGGUGACCGGACACAUUGGGACUGAGAUACGGCACAGACUCCUACGGGAGGCAGUAGUGGGGAAUAUUGCACAAUGGGCGGAAGCCUGAUGCAGCAACGCCGCGUGCGGGAUGACGGCCUUCGGGUUGUAAACCGCUUUCGCCUGUGACGAAGCGUGAGUGACGGUAAUGGGUAAAGAAGCACCGGCUAACUACGUG
Molecule: ribosomal RNA, 468 nt
Filed under: uncultured bacterium
Lineage: Bacteria
Description: partial 16S ribosomal RNA
Rfam family: Bacterial small subunit ribosomal RNA
Source: RNAcentral